GAUGAACGCUGGCGGCGUGCCUAAUACAUGCAAGUCGAGCGAACAGACGAGGAGCUUGCUCCUCUGACGUUAGCGGCGGACGGGUGAGUAACACGUGGAUAACCUACCUAUAAGACUGGGAUAACUUCGAGAAACCGGAGCUAAUACCGGAUAAUAUAUUGAACCGCAUGGUUCAAUAGUGAAAGACGGUUUUGCUGUCACUUAUAGAUGGAUCCGCGCCGCAUUAGCUAGUUGGUAAGGUAACGGCUUACCAAGGCGACGAUGCGUAGCCGACCUGAGAGGGUGAUCGGCCACACUGGAACUGAGACACGGUCCAGACUCCUACGGGAGGCAGCAGUAGGGAAUCUUCCGCAAUGGGCGAAAGCCUGACGGAGCAACGCCGCGUGAGUGAUGAAGGUCUUCGGAUCGUAAAACUCUGUUAUUAGGGAAGAACAAAUGUGUAAGUAACUAUGCACGUCUUGACGGUACCUAAUCAGAAAGCCACGGCUAACUACGUG
Molecule: ribosomal RNA, 497 nt
Filed under: uncultured bacterium
Lineage: Bacteria
Description: partial 16S ribosomal RNA
Rfam family: Bacterial small subunit ribosomal RNA
Source: RNAcentral